AACGAACGCUGGCGGCAUGCCUAACACAUGCAAGUCGAACGAGACCUUCGGGUCUAGUGGCGCACGGGUGCGUAACGCGUGGGAACCUGCCCUUAGGUUCGGAAUAACUCCCCGAAAGGGGUGCUAAUACCGGAUAAUGUCUUCGGACCAAAGAUUUAUCGCCUUUGGAUGGGCCCGCGUUGGAUUAGCUAGUUGGUAGGGUAAAAGCCUACCAAGGCGACGAUCCAUAGCUGGUCUGAGAGGAUGAUCAGCCACGCUGGGACUGAGACACGGCCCAGACUCCUACGGGAAGCAGCAGUGGGGAAUAUUGGACAAUGGGCGAAAGCCUGAUCCAGCAAUGCCGCGUGAGUGAUGAAGGCCUUAGGGUUGUAAAGCUCUUUUACCCGGGAUGAUAAUGACAGUACCGGGAGAAUAAGCUCCGGCUAACUCCGUG
RNAcentral lists this ribosomal RNA (433 nucleotides) under uncultured bacterium. Its description in RNAcentral is "partial 16S ribosomal RNA". It matches the Rfam family "Bacterial small subunit ribosomal RNA", at positions 29 to 507 of the family's 1533-position model. The record is from RNAcentral.